AUGGCGCGCGUGUCGCUGAUCCUCGCCGCCGCGGUGCUCGCGUGCGCGGUGCUCGCCACCAGGGCCGGGGCCGCCGCCGCCGCCGCCGCCGGCCCGGCGGCCCCCGCCCCCGGCGGCUUCGCCUGCAACCCACUCAAGGACAAGACGUGCAAGCUGGGGGAACCCAAGGCGCCGGAGGACACGGAGGAGGAGGGCGGGCUCGGCACGAAGCUGCCGUCCCUGACGUCCAUCUCCAUUCCUGGCGCCGGCAAGGUCGACCGCGACGGCGAUGGAGACACCGACGAGGACGACGAGCUGCCGUCGUUCGACACCCACAUGACCAUCCUCGGCCACUGA
Molecule: ribosomal RNA, 336 nt
Filed under: Triticum aestivum (bread wheat)
Lineage: Eukaryota; Viridiplantae; Streptophyta; Magnoliopsida; Poales; Poaceae
Description: partial small subunit ribosomal RNA
Source: RNAcentral